GGAAAGGCGCGCGAUACAGGGUGACAGCCCCGUACACAAAAAUGCACAUGCUGUGAGCUCGAUGAGUAGGGCGGGACACGUGGUAUCCUGUCUGAAUAUGGGGGGACCAUCCUCCAAGGCUAAAUACUCCUGACUGACCGAUAGUGAACCAGUACCGUGAGGGAAAGGCGAAAAGAACCCCGGCGAGGGGAGUGAAAAAGAACCUGAAACCGUGUACGUACAAGCAGUGGGAGCACGCUUAGGCGUGUGACUGCGUACCUUUUGUAUAAUGGGUCAGCGACUUAUAUUCUGUAGCAAGGUUAACCGAAUAGGGGAGCCGAAGGGAAACCGAGUCUUAACUGGGCGUUAAGUUGCAGGGUAUAGACCCGAAACCCGGUGAUCUAGCCAUGGGCAGGUUGAAGGUUGGGUAACACUAACUGGAGGACCGAACCGACUAAUGUUGAAAAAUUAGCGGAUGACUUGUGGCUGGGGGUGAAAGGCCAAUCAAACCGGGAGAUAGCUGGUUCUCCCCGAAAGCUAUUUAGGUAGCGCCUCGUGAAUUCAUCUCCGGGGGUAGAGCACUGUUUCGGCAAGGGGGUCAUCCCGACUUACCAACCCGAUGCAAACUGCGAAUACCGGAGAAUGUUAUCACGGGAGACACACGGCGGGUGCUAACGUCCGUCGUGAAGAGGGAAACAACCCAGACCGCCAGCUAAGGUCCCAAAGUCAUGGUUAAGUGGGAAACGAUGUGGGAAGGCCCAGACAGCCAGGAUGUUGGCUUAGAAGCAGCCAUCAUUUAAAGAAAGCGUAAUAGCUCACUGGUCGAGUCGGCCUGCGCGGAAGAUGUAACGGGGCUAAACCAUGCACCGAAGCUGCGGCAGCGACGCUGAUGCGUUGUUGGGUAGGGGAGCGUUCUGUAAGCCUGUGAAGGUGUGCUGUGAGGCAUGCUGGAGGUAUCAGAAGUGCGAAUGCUGACAUAAGUAACGAUAAAGCGGGUGAAAAGCCCGCUCGCCGGAAGACCAAGGGUUCCUGUCCAACGUUAAUCGGGGCAGGGUGAGUCGACCCCUAAGGCGAGGCCGAAAGGCGUAGUCGAUGGGAAACAGGUUAAUAUUCCUGUACUUGGUGUUACUGCGAAGGGGGGACGGAGAAGGCUAUGUUGGCCGGGCGACGGUUGUCCCGGUU
Molecule: ribosomal RNA, 1161 nt
Filed under: Escherichia coli
Lineage: Bacteria; Pseudomonadati; Pseudomonadota; Gammaproteobacteria; Enterobacterales; Enterobacteriaceae
Description: partial 23S ribosomal RNA
Rfam family: Bacterial large subunit ribosomal RNA
Source: RNAcentral